This is a long non-coding RNA of Corvus hawaiiensis (hawaiian crow), 793 nucleotides long. RefSeq lists it as uncharacterized. Lineage: Eukaryota; Metazoa; Chordata; Aves; Passeriformes; Corvidae. The record is from RefSeq and is a predicted model, not a curated record. The transcript is spliced from 2 exons.
UGGGGGGGAGUGUUGGGGUUUUUUAGGAUAGGGAAACUUAUCACCAGUAACUCCCCAGAUUUCUCUUUGCCAGCACAGAGCAUGAAGAGAAUCAAACGCUAAAAUGUGACUUUUGCUUGUGAAAAGCAAAAUCAAAAUGUGUGGUUGAUAGAGGGGCCGAGCACAAUGAUCCCUCCCUUUGCUUCCUGCAGUUUGCAUAAACCCUGAGGGUCAAAAAGGAACUUGGAACUGGACAUGGUUGUGGACGAGGACACGGAAAACCAAACCACUCUUGCUUUGCCUUUGCUUUUGGGAAUUCCAGCCUGGAUUGCCGGGACUCUCCCGUGCUGCUGUUGGGUUGCUCUCCCUGGCUGGGCAGGGACUGUGCUGGGCACAGCCUGGGCUCUCCCUGGAAUGUCUGGAGCCAGGAGCUGUGUGGGAGCAGCCAUGGGCACCCCGGGCAUGUGCUCCCUGCUCUCCAGCAGAGCUCAGGGCUUCUCCUGCUGCUGCUGCAGGGUUUGGGGCACAGGGGCUGGUUCCUGGUACUGCUCUCAGUUCCUUCUCUUCUCACCCAUCAGCUCAGCGCAAAAACUUGAUUGACCUCAGAUUUAUUUUCAUUCAGUUUAAUUUAAUUUAAUUCAGUUGGAGAUUUGCUUAAAACCUUUUCCUUCUCUUGAUGCUUUAUGCAACUUUGAAGAUGAAGUGAAACUUCAUAACUUUCUAAAGGGGAAUCUUUGUCAUUUGAAAAAAUCAUGUGCUCUGGGAAUGACUGGAAUCACUUUAACUAAAUACACUUUUCCUUUCCUUGCAUGUA